This is a long non-coding RNA of Chelonia mydas (Green sea turtle), 4605 nucleotides long. RefSeq lists it as uncharacterized. The transcript is spliced from 2 exons. The record is from RefSeq and is a predicted model, not a curated record. Lineage: Eukaryota; Metazoa; Chordata; Testudines; Cheloniidae.
CAUCAGUUGUACCUCCGUCUCUCUCCACUGUGGAAUAUCAGAGCUAAUUUUGGGUCUAUUAGGAGUCUAGCAAUAGUCCUGAGCUGAAUUCACUUUGGCCUUAUGGUGCACCAGCACUGAGGCUUCCACGACUACAAGCUGAAAUUACUAAAGGGCUAAAAUUACUAAGAGCUGAAAUCACUGAGCACUGUGUUAAGUAGUGGGGAGCCUGAAGCUCUAUUGCAGAGCGGAGCGGAGCAGUUCAUGGGAUGGCUGGAGAGGCUCACGGACCGGCUGGUGGAACAGUUUGUGGGAUGGCGGAAGCUGCUUGCGGAGCAGUUUGUGGGACGGCUGGUGGAGCGGAGUGAAGCCCUAUGGAGCUGUGGGGCAAUCAGCUUCAGAUCAUGGCAGAUGUACCCUCAGAGACCAGAAGGGGGAAAUGGGUGCAGCAAGCCUCAUAACUGUGACCAUGUGCUUCAAAAUAUUUGUUUUAUCAGGAUAUAAUCCAACCUCCUACAGCCUAUGGUAAGGAGGAGACUUCCCUGAUGGUAGUUUGUUAUAGAAGAGUCUGUUAUGGAAUUUCCCCCCACCUUUUCCUGGAGCAUUUGGUACUAGCCGCUGUUAGAGAAGAUAGUGGACUAAAUGGACUAUUGUCUGAUGUGACAUGGCAGUUCUUGUGCUCCUAUUUAAAACUAAGGAGUGAUUUAAAAAUUGCUAUACUGCCUGUUAAGAUAAUCUGCUCCCUUGGUUCAGGAGGGGAGGAGAUGAGGGGUAUUGUAAGGGCUGAACCUUAUUUAGUAAAUGUUUUGAGACCCAUUUGUUAACCAAGAAAAGUCUUUAAGGAUUGUAGGUUAUUUGGUAGCCCACCGCUUCAGUUAAAGGACAAGCCUAAUAAGAGUCCAUUGGUGCAAAUGCAGCUUUUUCUAGAAAGCUGUUGAAAAUAUCUUUGCUAAUGGGAUAGAAUUGUUCUGUGUUGCCUAAAUUGUUGGAAUGACACUAAUAUUAGCUGUAGAAGAAUAGGGGCAGUUUGGGGCCAAAUGUUCAAGGGCAGUGAUGGGUACAGAGUAGGUAGCAACAUGGAGAAAAGCAAUCUUUUCAGAGCCAGGGCACGCUGGCUGGUACUGUGGAGGAAUUAGUCUAUGAUAUGUAUAAGCCUUACAUUCACCCCCUCACUCUCCCUGUACAGCAGAGGGACUGGGAAGCUAAUUAUAAUCAAGUCAAAAUCUGAUUUAUGUGCUGCCCCCUUGCUCAGGGCUUGUAUGAAAGCCACAAAUUCACCCAUGAUAAAUAAAAAAAUGAUGGACAAUGGAAUUUCCUGUCUUCCUUAAAUAUAUCAAAAUUUACAAAGAUGUUGUCUUAUAUUUGAAUUAACCUUUAAUGAGUCAUAUAAUCUUUAUUUUUUAAGUGAGAAAAAAUGUUCUGGGCUCAGGUCCUUUCCCUUUAUGCUUUAGUUCUGCUUUUCCUCUGUCUCUCCUUCUUGUGAAAUGGGGAGUGUCUCUCUCUCCUUUUUGACUUGCAUGUAAUAGAUUGUAAUGUCACCAACUCAGAUAAACAUUAAACAUUUUUUGCAGUGGUCCCUGACAGUGUAACUAAAACCAUGGCAAUACACAGGAACUGAACCAGUCUGAACUGUAAUUGCACAGUAGACUGCAAUGGCUCCAGUCCCCUGGCAUCAAGCUGAGGUGGACUAACCCGCAAUCCUUUUCAGCAAGUACAAAGCUACAGAGAGAACUUGAAGUGGGAUUCAGUUUCAGGAGUGAAGUCUGGCUCUUCCUUGGUAGAAAAUCCUUUCAACCCCCUUGUGGCUGGAUCUGGGCAUGAUGUUGCUCACCCAGACAGCUGCUGUCCUGUAUAGGUGCUUGCAUUACCAGUGGAGGCAGCUAUUACAAGAGAAGCCCCCUGCUGUGUUUCCACCAGCUUCAUUAGAAGUAGUGUAUGGGGGAGGACUGACCGUGUAGGCGACAUGCCCCUGCUCCUUUCUGACCAGCUAUUAGUGGCUUGGGGAAACCUCACUUUCUCCCUCUCACCACAUACCUGAUGGCAGCGACUUCUAGCAGUCAGCAGAGACCUACCACCACAAAACCCAAAGGGCAUCUGUGACCCACACCUCCUCCAGCUGUCAUCUCUGCCUUGGCCUCUUAGCUUCUCUGCUUGCGUUCCCCUGCUGCAGCCAGAACAAACAUGCUGGCAGCCAACUACUUUUCUCAUACCCCUGCCUUGAUGCUGAGAGGGGAAAGGUUCCAGAAACUCUCUCCAUUUCAGCACCUCAUGGAGGUUAUGGUGGUCUCUUCUGUUUGCUGAUGUCAAAGGGAAGUUACUCCCAUGUCAGUACUGUGAUUUAAAACAGAGAAUGGCAUUAAAAUAAAGGAACCUGUUUGUGUCUAAUAAUAAUUUCUAACUCUUCUAGCACUUUUCAGCAGCAGAUCUCUAAAUUCUUUACAAAGCUCAGCAUUAUUAUCUCCAUUUUACAGAUGCAUAAACAGGGAGAAGGAGAUGAAGUGACUUGGCCAAGGUCACCCAGAAGGCCAGUGGCAGACCCAGGAAUAGAAUCCAAGUUUCCUAUGUUAUAGGCUAGUGCUGUCUCCACACUUCCUCCCCUAGAUUACAUACGUAAUUCGUCACUUUCCAUAAUUGAACCUAGCUAAAACAAUCUCAGCAUGGGAGCUGGGGGGAAUAAAAGUGAAUAGCUAUCUACUUCUUGAAAGCAAUCCCCUCAAGUGAGCCUUUCAGCAUCACAUCCUUGCUUCAUCAUAAAGCCUCCCUGAACCAGAGCAGCUGCCCUCUUUCGAAACCUGCUUUCUCCAGUACCAUCUGCACAAAAGGGGUUUGGGGGUCUGUCUACAUUCUCUAUGCGGUGGACCGCUGAGGACAGAUCUUUUAAUGAUGAUAAUAUCCAGUUGACUUUCAACAGCUUAAUGACCUAAGUCAGAUCAAGCUGGUUGUAUCUGGUUUCCAUCAGGCCUCUUUUUAAAAAACACUCUAAGCAGUUUUUUUUCUUUUUACUGUGAAUUCUGGACAGAGAUCAAGACCACAUGUCACAGGACUCCUAACUAACCACCCAGCUCAUCACCAGCAGGCACCUGGUCCCCACCUGACCAAUUACUUUAUGGCCAGAGACUUCAAGACAAUCUGCCUCCCCCCACAUCUGAUAAUUGAGCUAAUAGGAAUGAAAGAUCAGGGUGGAUCAAGAGGGCUGGAGUAGACAGAAGGUAGGUUUGGAACAAGGAGAAGAUACUGACUUUAAACAAUCACAUUAAAAUAAAUUUGAUAUCCACGACAUGAGGCAUUUGAUAGAGGUACUCAUCAUAUAUAUUUUUAAUCAAAAUACAUUCAGAUUCUAAACUGUUCUAGGCACAGACCUGUUAUAUCUGUGUAGUGUCUAGCACAUUGUGGGCACUGUAUAAAUAAAAAACAAAACUCCAUUUGCAAAGGUAAAUCAGUUUCACUCAGUUCAAUGGUGGUAAAGUGGAAGAAUGUUAUAGAAAUCAUAGAAAACAGCUGGGUGGAUUAACUUUAAAUCACAAUUUAAAUAAGCAAGCAGGAAAUCUCAAUUAAAGUCAUUUUAAUCUUGAUUUGCAUUUGUACUUUUUAGCUAUUUUCCUAAAGAGAGGUUUGUUCUUAUUGAUUGGUAUAACUUCUAAAACAUGUUGAUUUGUAAUCAAAUAUCGCCUUUACACAAAAUUUGAUACUUCUCUUUGCCAACAAGAAGGAAACACUUUUAUCUAUAUGCAUUUAUUUAAGCUUAACAUACUUAUUCAGAUUCUUAAUUUUUUCCAUUUUUACGUGGGAAUAUGGUGAAUGACUCAUUCCUUAUUUACUGAAUGGUGACUUUUUUUAUUUGGGAUUUGUCACGCUGCAUUUGGUUGGAAAUUACCGUUUUAAUGCAUUUUUAAUUUAAUUACCAGUUUACAUUUGUUUUUAUAUUAGUUAACUAAAACUACCUCAAAGGUGCUGGAAACAAACUCCCAUUUUUUCCUCUCAAAACAAUUUUUUUAUUUAAAACUGAUUUAUUAAACAAUGGAAAUAUUAACUGCCAUUGGUGAAUUGACAGAUUGUUUCUGGUCAUUAUGGACCAGAUUUUCAAGGGUGUCUAAUGAGAUUUUCAGAAAUACCCAUGGGGGAUAGGUUCUUCUGAAAAUUGGAUGAGGCACGCAUUUGGAUCUUUAGUCACCAAAAUACCCUUGAAAAUUAGGCCCAUUAUCUCCAGGUUUUCAUCAGUUUUUAAUGUUCUCCUACCCGUUUUUUUAGUGAUUGGAAGAGGAAAACGAGCUUUCCUACUUUUUCAGCUCUCCAAUCCAUUUCUCAACUUUGCAUGAACUAGUUCAAAUUAGGAAAAUAUUCUCUCUGCAUCUGCUAGCUAAACUAAAAUGAAAAGUAAGAAAGGCAUUAAAGGCAAAAACUUCUCUGCAAAACAAACUGAAAUAACUUACCUUUGGAAAAAAUGUAAUUACCAGCAUUUGCUCCAUUGUAAAGACUGAAAAUAAUAUCAAGACUGAAAUGCAGUAUAAGACAUUGUAAUGUAACUACUGUAUUAAGCUUGAAUUGACCUCAAAAGUUAGAUGUUACCCACUGGUUUUGUACAUAUUAAAAAAAAAAAAAAAAAAAAAAAAAAAAGGCAGCACAUUU